UGGCGGACGGGUGAGUAAUGUCUGGGAAACUGCCCGAUGGAGGGGGAUAACUACUGGAAACGGUAGCUAAUACCGCAUAAUGUCUACGGACCAAAGCGGGGGACCUCCGGGCCUCGCGCCAUCAGAUGAACCCAUAUGGGAUUAGCUAGUAGGUGGGGUAACGGCUCACCUAGGCGACGAUCCCUAGCUGGUCUGAGAGGAUGACCAGCCACACUGGAACUGAGACACGGUCCAG
Molecule: ribosomal RNA, 235 nt
Filed under: uncultured bacterium
Lineage: Bacteria
Description: partial 16S ribosomal RNA
Rfam family: Bacterial small subunit ribosomal RNA
Source: RNAcentral